GCCGCUGUAGCUUAGUGGUAGAGCACCUGCCCAGCCACUUAGAGGUGGUUGGGGCUAAAAGGAAGACCGGGUUUCAAUUACCCGUGGCGGCG
This 92-nucleotide transfer RNA is filed under the name Aureobasidium pullulans EXF-150. It matches the Rfam family "tRNA". From Rfam's summary of the family: Transfer RNA (tRNA) molecules are approximately 80 nucleotides in length. Their secondary structure includes four short double-helical elements and three loops (D, anti-codon, and T loops). Lineage: Eukaryota; Fungi; Ascomycota; Dothideomycetes; Dothideales; Saccotheciaceae. The record is from Rfam by way of RNAcentral.